RNAcentral lists this ribosomal RNA (1366 nucleotides) under uncultured prokaryote. RNAcentral's name for it is "partial 16S ribosomal RNA". It matches the Rfam family "Bacterial small subunit ribosomal RNA", at positions 28 to 1382 of the family's 1533-position model. The record is from RNAcentral.
AACGAACGCUGGUGGCAUGCCUAAUACAUGCAAGUCGAACGAGAAAGCACUUCGGUGUGAGUAUAGUGGCGCACGGGUGAGUAACGCGUAGGUGAUAUGCCUAUUAGUGGGGGACAACAGUUGGAAACCGCUGCUAAUACCGCAUAAGCUUGGGAACUUGAAAAAACCAAGGAAAGGGGGCUUCGGCUCUCGCUGAUAGAUUGGCCUGCGUAGCAUUAGCUUGUUGGUGGGGUAAUGGCCUACCAAGGCGACGAUGCUUAACUGGUCUGAGAGGAUGAUCAGUCACACUGGAACUGAGACACGGUCCAGACUCCUACGGGAGGCAGCAGUAGGGAAUAUUGCGCAAUGGAGGAAACUCUGACGCAGCAAUGCCACGUGAGUGAGGAAGGUCUUCGGAUUGUAAAGCUCUGUCCUAUAGGAAGAACUGCCUUGUGGUUAAUACCCACUUGGUUUGACGGUACUAUAGAAGAAAGCACCGGCUAACUCCGUGCCAGCAGCCGCGGUAAUACGGAGGGUGCAAGCGUUGUUCGGAUUUACUGGGCGUAAAGCGCGCGCAGGCGGACUAGCAAGUCAGAUGUGAAAUCUCAGGGCUUAACCCCGAAACUGCGUCUGAAACUGUUAGUCUAGAGUCUCACAGGGGGUAGGGGAAUUUCACGUGUAGGGGUAAAAUCCGUAGAGAUGUGAAGGAACACCGGUGGCGAAGGCGCCUACCUGGAUGAGUACUGACGCUGAGGCGCGAAAGCGUGGGGAGCAAACAGGAUUAGAUACCCUGGUAGUCCACGCCGUAAACGAUGAGUACUAGCUAUUAGAGGUAUUGACUCCUUUAGUGGCGCAGCUAACGCAUUAAGUACUCCGCCUGGGAAGUACGGUCGCAAGACUAAAACUCAAAGGAAUUGACGGGGGCCCGCACAAGCGGUGGAUUAUGUGGUUUAAUUCGAAGCAACGCGCAGAACCUUACCUAGGCUUGAAAUCCCUCGAAUCCGACGUAAUUGUUGGAGUGCUCGCAAGAGAAUGAGGUGACAGGUGCUGCAUGGCUGUCGUCAGCUCGUGUUGUGAAAUGUUGGGUUAAGUCUCGCAACGAGCGCAACCCCUAUCUUUAGUUGCCAGCAUUAAGUUGGGCACUCUAGAGAGACUGCCCGGGUUAACCGGGAGGAAGGUGGGGAUGACGUCAAGUCCUCAUGGCCCUUAUGCCUAGGGCUACACACGUAAUACAAUGGUGCAUACAAAGGGAUGCGAUCCGGUGACGGUUAGCAAAUCUCAAAAAGUGUAUCUCAGUCCGGAUUGAAGUCUGCAACUCGACUUCAUGAAGUUGGAAUCGCUAGUAAUCGCGGAUCAGCACGCCGCGGUGAAUACGUUCCCGGGCCUU